RNAcentral lists this small RNA (70 nucleotides) under Granulicella rosea. RNAcentral's name for it is "NAD+-I sequence". It matches the Rfam family "nadA riboswitch". The record is from Rfam by way of RNAcentral. Lineage: Bacteria; Pseudomonadati; Acidobacteriota; Terriglobia; Terriglobales; Acidobacteriaceae.
GGUUGCAACAUCCCCGUGGGUUGGCGUUCCGACGUAUAUAUCGGCGGAACGUAGCGCAUCCACUGCAACC